AGUGAACGCUGGCGGUAGGCCUAACACAUGCAAGUCGAACGGCAGCACAGUAAGAGCUUGCUCUUACGGGUGGCGAGUGGCGGACGGGUGAGGAAUACAUCGGAAUCUACUUUUUCGUGGGGGAUAACGUAGGGAAACUUACGCUAAUACCGCAUACGACCUACGGGUGAAAGCAGGGGAUCUUCGUACCUUGCGCGAUUGAAUGAGCCGAUGUCGGAUUAGCUAGUUGGCGGGGUAAAGGCCCACCAAGGCGACGAUCCGUAGCUGGUCUGAGAGGAUGAUCAGCCACACUGGAACUGAGACACGGUCCAGACUCCUAAGGGAGGCAGCAGUGGGGAAUAUUGGACAAUGGGCGCAAGCCUGAUCCAGCCAGACCGCGUGGGUGAAGAAGGCCUUCGGGUUGUAAAGCCCUUUUGUUGGGAAAGAAAAGCAGCAGGUUAAUACCCCGCUGUUCUGACGGUACCCAAAGAAUAAGCACCGGCUAACUUCGUG
RNAcentral lists this ribosomal RNA (492 nucleotides) under uncultured bacterium. RNAcentral's name for it is "partial 16S ribosomal RNA". It matches the Rfam family "Bacterial small subunit ribosomal RNA", at positions 29 to 507 of the family's 1533-position model. The record is from RNAcentral.